This 2424-nucleotide long non-coding RNA is filed under the name Bos grunniens (domestic yak). RNAcentral describes it as "lncRNA (ENSBGRG00000002523.1)". The record is from RNAcentral. Lineage: Eukaryota; Metazoa; Chordata; Mammalia; Artiodactyla; Bovidae.
AGCUAAAAGAAGAAUUAGAAGAAAGCUGCAUGAAUAAAGAUGGGAUCCUUCAUGAUACAGAAAAGACCUCAGCAGAGCAGUACGAAAGAGAAGCAGCUAAGAGGGAAAAGGAUUCUCUUGAGCAAAAGAUUAAAGAGCUGCUACAAAUGUUAGAGAACCAAGAAAGAGCCUUCAAGAUAUUUAGAGUCAAAAUCACCAGCAAGAUGAGAGAAAGAGACAAGCUUCUGAGAAGGAUGAACAAGAGGAUUGAGAGGCUGGAGAUCUUAAGAAAGAUAAGGGAAGAACAAGAGGAAUACUACAUGAAGAAAGAGGAGCAGAUCAAAAGAGAGGCAAGUGAGAGGGAAAAAGACCCUUCUGAGCGAAAGGUUAAAGAGCUGCAGAGACAGUUGGAGAACCAAAAGAGAGUUUUGGAGAGAUUAACAGCCAGAGUGAGAAAGGAGAUAAGAGAAAGAGAGAAGACCUCAGCAGAAGAGUGGGCCAGAGGAGAGGCAACUGAGAGGGAAAAGGAACCUCUUGAACAAAAGGCUAAAGAAUUACAGUCAAAGAUGGAGGGCGACAGAAGUGCCAUCUUGAAGGAAGUUAGACUCAAAACGACAAAGAUGAGAGAAAGAGAAAACCUUCUAAGAAGGAUGAACGAGAGGUUUGAGAUGUUGGAGAUCUUGGGGAUGAUAAAGGACGAGCUAGGGGAAUGCUGCAAGAAGACAGAUGAGCUUUGUAAUGCAGCCAAGACCUUGGCAGAAUGCACUAAAGGAGAGCCAUCUGAGAGGGAAAAGGAGCUUCUUGAGCAAAUGGUUAAAGAAUUGCAGCAAAAGUUGGAGGACCGAGAAAAACCUUCGAGAGAUUUAGAGACAAACUCACAAAGGAAAUGAGAGAAAGAGACGACCUUCUGAGAAAGAUGAAUGAGAGGAUUCAGAUGCUGGAAGUAUGUCUGGUCUGGGUCUGGGCAGUGACUUUGGAACAAAGCCUGAGCCCUCAGGAAGGGGUGGGUGGAAAUUAAAGCAUAAUCACAGAGAGAAGAACUAUUCUCUUUUGCUUUCAAUUCACUAGAAGCUCUGGGAUUGUAAUGGCUUAUAUCCAGUCAUUUGGGUUCAGUUCACAGUUUUUGAAGAGUCCCUGAGGACCUUGGUAUCUCAAACAUUUAUAGAAUAUAAAUAACUUUUCCAAGCCUUGUGCUGCUGUUUUGAGAGAUUCCUGGUUGAUCUCAUGGAAUCAGUAUUAAAUGGGGCUCCCAGGUUUAACAAGUAGACAUUCUGAGUAUGUUUAAGGCAAGUAGGAUAAGUUACUGAAAUAGUACCUCAUCAUUUUCUUAACAGUUGACACAGAUUUAGUGCUAUUCAUUGUAGGGGAUCCUGAUUUCUCUGAAAGAGUUCUAAUAGACUAUAAUAUUCUAUUCCAAACUGAAGCACUUUCUCUGGACAUCUGUCUGACCUCUGAAGCAAUGUCAGUACAGAUGUCUUCCUUGACUAAACACUUGCAUAAUUUCCUUAUAUGCUUAGAAAAGACAAGUUAUUUUGAGAUUGUUACUUUUACUGUGUACUUACUCCCAUUCAGAGCAAAUCAAGCUCCUCUGCAGAGCUUCUCCUACCAAAGCUUUCUUUAUCUUUAUUAUGCUUUUAGUUGUAUUGCUGUUAUUCAUGCACUAUAGAUAGAAUCUGAGGAAGCUACAGCUGUGAGGAACUAUAGACAUUAUAUUAAAAUCCCUACAUUUCACCUAGAAACUCAAGGAAUAAAGAUACUUACCAGUAUGUCUUAUAGUAUUUCAGCACUUUUUUUCUGAGAUGCAGAGAUUCAGGUUUAUUUAAACAGUUUCAUAGAGAUGUAAUUCACAAGCCAUAGAUUUCACGGAUUUGAAUGUACAACUAUAUUUAAUUAAAUGUACAUGUAUGAUUGAUACAAAUUUACCAAAGUAUGUAUAGUGAUUUCACUUGGGAAUGUGCUUUAUGGAAUGUUCCUGGAAGACCAAGAAAGGGUCUCUGAGGAAUUAGGAGUCAAAAAGACAGAGAAGCAAAGAGAAAGAGAAAAGACCUCAGCAGGUAUAGGGUAGACUCAGCUCAUGGUAGGGUGGGUUCCUGCAGUGCCCUCUAUGACUCCAACAGGAGGAACUUCCAGAAAUAGAGCUUCCUCUCCUUCUGUGAACACACUCUGCUACAUCUGAAAAUAACAAGGUGAAUUGUGGUUAGAGGUCCAACCAAUCAUCCCCUUUUCUAGCACAUUCUCGCACCUGCCCUUAUGUGUGGUCACAGGUGAAUUUAGACAUGUCCAUCUGCUUUGCCCAGACAGUUUGGUUACUCAGAAAGCAAGGGUUGUUGGUUGUGGGCUUGUAGCUCUCAGUGCUGACUGUUGUUUUCUUCUCUUCUCUCUCUAAAAUCUUCCGGGAGCAGAAAUGCUGGCCCAAUGGGAGGAUGCUAUGUGGGAAAAGAAGCU